UGGGGAAUAUUGGACAAUGGGCGCAAGCCUGAUCCAGCCAUGCCGCGUGAGUGAUGAAGGCCCUAGGGUUGUAAAGCUCUUUCACCGGUGAAGAUAAUGACGGUAACCGGGGAAGAAGCCCCGGCUAACUUCGUGCCAGCAGCCGCGGUAAUACGAAGGGGGCUAGCGUUGUUCGGAUUUACUGGGCGUAAAGCGCACGUAGGCGGACUUUUAAGUCAGGGGUGAAAUCCCGGGGCUCAACCCCGGAACUGCCUUUGAUACUGGAAGUCUUGAGUAUGGUAGAGGUGAGUGGAAUUCCGAGUGUAGAGGUGAAAUUCGUAGAUAUUCGGAGGAACACCAGUGGCGAAGGCGGCUCACUGGACCAUUACUGACGCUGAGGUGCGAAAGCGUGGGGAGCAAACAGG
RNAcentral lists this ribosomal RNA (404 nucleotides) under Brucella melitensis. Its description in RNAcentral is "partial 16S ribosomal RNA". It matches the Rfam family "Bacterial small subunit ribosomal RNA", at positions 355 to 776 of the family's 1533-position model. Lineage: Bacteria; Pseudomonadati; Pseudomonadota; Alphaproteobacteria; Hyphomicrobiales; Brucellaceae. The record is from RNAcentral. RNAcentral also lists the same sequence under 2 other names.